GAUACCAUUCUGACAGAAAAAUUUUAAUUCUUUUUGGUUUUGUCUCAUUGCCCAGGCUGGCCUUGAUCUUCUUGCCUCCAUCUCGUAAGCGUUAGGGUGCAUCACUUCUAUGUAAGAUGCAGAGACAGGAAAAAAAAUACCCCUUACAGAUGUAAAGCCUUAGAAGUCCCCGUAAUGCUCACGUUAGGAGGGAAUGAAAAACCAGAAGUGGCAAAAAAAGAAGUUUCAGGGCUGAUGGCUGUGUUCUUCAUCUGAAUGCUGGCUACAAAGACAAUUUAUAAAAAUUAAUAUGCCUAAACACCAUUUACUUUUCUGUAACAUAUACGAGAAAAUGAGAGGAAUUAGUCCAGGUCUUUGAAUCACCCCGAUUAAACAAUAAAGAGACCCAGAAUAGCAGGUUGGAUUAGGAAGCAAGAAUGAUACUUUUGCUGCCUCUAAGAAACACCUUACCGUUUCCUUAGGCAAAGGGAUGGAAACCAUUUCUCCAAGCAAACGGAACCCAGGAACGAACAGGAGGAAGGCACUCAGGAGACAGGAUGAGUGAUGAUGUGGAUGAGACCCAGGAGGAGGCAGCCCCACCCGCAGAAGCCUUCCUGAAAGUGGACCGACUGUGGACAUUAAGUCAUCCUGUAGGAUUCCCUUCCCGGCGUCACCUCCAUAAGCUUCUGACAGCACGUGCUCACUCUUCCCAGCAGAUGCUGACAAGUGAGCUUCUGGGAAGUCAGCGUGGCCUACAAAGGCAAAGCCAGCCUGGUCCAUGCUAGCCGCGGUGCCACAGGCUCCCUGGAGACUCUGUGUGCGGGACACAUAAGGAAAAUUGGAAGCCAGGCAUGAUGGGACACACCUGUAGUAACAGCAGCUAGGAAGACUGAGGACUGUUCAUGAAUUCAAGGCCAACACAGCAAGCUCCAGGCCAGCCUGAACUGUAGGCUUCUACUCAGAGUGUGGUGGAGCACGGAGCAAUGAUUACGCCUCAAGUAUCUGUGGAACCCAGUUAAGUGCACAGCGCUAAGAUUAUAUAAACAACAGACUCGGCCAUGUCCCGGGCUAGCCGUGACUGAAAUAACAGUCCCCGUCUUCUGCUUCCUUUCAUCUCCCUCUUCAAGUCACUUGGACCUGAGGAGCUCCUUUCCCGCCCAGCCUGCCUUGCAUUUGCUCAUCAAAGUGACAGGAGUUCACCCAGGAGCAGUUUUUGGCCCUUGAUGUCACUUCCCACUGAGACUUGAGAGAGUUUGUUUCUGUUCCCAAAUGGAGCGGCACUGGAAAUGAAAAAGAGUGAGCGAGAGAGAAAAAGUUCGGCAGCCAGGAAGUGACCUCAUUUCUCUAAUUAGGUUUUUCGAGUUUAAGCUGCUUGUUGGUCUGGGCCCUUGGUGCCCUCCUUCUUCUGCGAGUCUUCAAUUAUAGAAGUUAGAGCCCACAAAGAAUUUCCUUUUUUUUUUUUUUUUUUUUGAAUGAGGAAACUCUUAGAGAAAAGUGGAAAAGAAACCCAAGAUCUGUGAAAAUAAAAUUGUAUUUAAAAGUUUUAGAAAGUCAUCACUUGGCAUCAUUUAGUCAAACCACAGUAGUAAUCAUUUCAGGCAAGAGGCUGGAAAUUGGCAAGUAAGGAAUGGCAAAGAUCGGGGCAUAGAGCAUAGAGCAUUUCUACAGAUGAUAGGCACGUACUAAUUACUAAGUACUAAUUACAGUGAGAAAGUGAAGGAUUCCCUGCUGCAGAAUUCUGACAGAGGCACCUAAGUCUGAUAAUCAAAACAACCUGCCUCAGGGCAAGUGGCUAAGUGGCUCCAGAGUG
Molecule: long non-coding RNA, 1789 nt
Organism: Meriones unguiculatus (Mongolian gerbil)
Lineage: Eukaryota; Metazoa; Chordata; Mammalia; Rodentia; Muridae
Exons: 4
Source: RefSeq, a predicted model, not a curated record